GAUGAACGCUGGCGGCGUGCCUAAUACAUGCAAGUCGAGCGAACGGACAAGAAGCUUGCUUCUCUGAUGUUAGCGGCGGACGGGUGAGUAACACGUGGAUAACCUACCUAUAAGACUGGGAUAACUUCGGGAAACCGGAGCUAAUACCGGAUGAUAUUUUGAACCGCAUGGUUCAAAAGUGAAAGACGGUCUUGCUGUCACUUAUAGAUGGAUCCUCGCUGCAUUAGCUAGUUGGUAAGGUAACGGCUUACCAAGGCAACGAUGCAUAGCCGACCUGAGAGGGUGAUCGGCCACACUGGAACUGAGACACGGUCCAGACUCCUACGGGAGGCAGCAGUAGGGAAUCUUCCGCAAUGGGCGAAAGCCUGACGGAGCAACGCCGCGUGAGUGAUGAAGGUCUUCGGAUCGUAAAACUCUGUUAUUAGGGAAGAACAUAUGUGUAAGUAACUGUGCACAUCUUGACGGUACCUAAUCAGAAAGCCACGGCUAACUACGUG
RNAcentral lists this ribosomal RNA (497 nucleotides) under uncultured bacterium. RNAcentral describes it as "partial 16S ribosomal RNA". It matches the Rfam family "Bacterial small subunit ribosomal RNA", at positions 28 to 507 of the family's 1533-position model. The record is from RNAcentral.